Molecule: ribosomal RNA, 458 nt
Filed under: uncultured bacterium
Lineage: Bacteria
Description: partial 16S ribosomal RNA
Rfam family: Bacterial small subunit ribosomal RNA
Source: RNAcentral
CCUACGGGAGGCAGCAGUGGGGAAUAUUGCACAAUGGGGGAAACCCUGAUGCAGCGACGCCGCGUGAGUGAAGAAGUAAUUCGUUACGUAAAGCUCUAUCAGCAGGGAAGAAACACUGACCUUACGGUCAGCAGACGGUACCUGAGUAAGAAGCCCCGGCUAACUACGUGCCAGCAGCCGCGGUAAUACGUAGGGGGCAAGCGUUAUCCGGAUUUACUGGGUGUAAAGGGAGCGUAGACGGUGCGCCAAGUCUGGAGGGAAAUGCCGCAGCUUAACUGGGGAACUGCUUUGGAAACUGGCGAACGAGAGUGCGGGAGGGGUAAGCGGAAUUACGAGUGGAGCGGGGAGAUGCGUAGAUAUUAGGAGGAACACCGGUGGCGAAGGCGGCUUACUGGACCGUAACUGACGUUGAGGCUCGAAAGCGUGGGGAGCAAACAGGAUUAGAUACCCGAGUAGUC